UACGUAGGGUGCGAGCGUUGUCCGGAAUUAUUGGGCGUAAAGGGCUCGUAGGCGGUUUGUCGCGUCGGGAGUGAAAUCCACUGGCUUAACUGGUGGCUUGCUUUCGAUACGGGCAGACUGGAGGUAUGCAGGGAAGAACGGAAUUCCUGGUGUAGCGGUGAAAUGCGCAGAUAUCGGGAAGAACACCCGUGGCGAAGGCGGCACUCUGGGACGGUACUGACGGCUGAGACGCGAAAGCGUGGGGGAGCGAACAGG
This 255-nucleotide ribosomal RNA is filed under the name uncultured bacterium. RNAcentral's name for it is "partial 16S ribosomal RNA". It matches the Rfam family "Bacterial small subunit ribosomal RNA", at positions 524 to 776 of the family's 1533-position model. The record is from RNAcentral.